CGGUGAAUACGUUCCCGGGCCUUGUACACACCGCCCGUCAAGCCAUGGAAGCCGGGGGUACCCAAAGCCAGUGUCCUAACCGUAAGGAGGGAGCUGUUUAAGGUAAAACCGGUGACUGGGGCU
This 123-nucleotide ribosomal RNA is filed under the name uncultured bacterium. RNAcentral describes it as "partial 16S ribosomal RNA". It matches the Rfam family "Bacterial small subunit ribosomal RNA", at positions 1360 to 1482 of the family's 1533-position model. The record is from RNAcentral.